GAUGAACGCUAGCGGCAGGCCUAACACAUGCAAGUCGAGGGGCAUCGCGGUGCAGCAAUGCACUGGCGGCGACCGGCGUACGGGUGCGUAACGCGUAUGCAACCUGCCCCGCACCGGGGGAUAGCCCGCCGAAAGGCGGAUUAAUACCCCAUGGUCCCGGGGGCCCGCAUGGGCGAUCCGGGUAAAGACCUUGGCGGUGCGGGAGUGGGCGAUGCGUGCCAUUAGCUGGCUGGUGGGGUAACGGCCCACCAGGGCAACGAUGGCUAGGGGUCGUGAGAGGAUGGUCCCCCACCACUGGUACUGAGACACGGACCAGACUCCUACGGGAGGCAGCAGUGAGGAAUAUUGGUCAAUGGGCGGAAGCCUGAACCAGCCAUGCCGCGUGCGGGAUGAAGGCCCUACGGGUUGUAAACCGCUUUUCCCCGGGAAGAAUAACCCCGAUGAGUCGGGGGAUGCCGGUACCGGGGGAAUAAGGAUCGGCUAACUCCGUG
This 491-nucleotide ribosomal RNA is filed under the name uncultured bacterium. Its description in RNAcentral is "bacterial SSU rRNA". It matches the Rfam family "Bacterial small subunit ribosomal RNA", at positions 28 to 507 of the family's 1533-position model. The record is from RNAcentral.